RNAcentral lists this ribosomal RNA (236 nucleotides) under uncultured bacterium. RNAcentral describes it as "partial 16S ribosomal RNA". It matches the Rfam family "Bacterial small subunit ribosomal RNA", at positions 1257 to 1500 of the family's 1533-position model. The record is from RNAcentral.
GCGACAUAGAGCGGAACCCGAAAACCUAGUCUCAGUUCGGAUUGGAGUCUGCAACCCGACUCCAUGAAGCUGGAUUCGCUAGUAAUCGCGCAUCAGCCACGGCGCGGUGAAUACGUUCCCGGGCCUUGUACACACCGCCCGUCAAGCCAUGGAAGCCGGGAGUGCCUGAAGUGCGUGAGCGCAAGCAGCGCCCUAAGGUAAAACCGGUGACUGGGGCUAAGUCGUAACAAGGUACC